AGUGAACGCUGGCGGUAGGCCUAACACAUGCAAGUCGAACGGCAGCACAGUAAGAGCUUGCUCUUACGGGUGGCGAGUGGCGGACGGGUGAGGAAUACAUCGGAAUCUACUUUUUCGUGGGGGAUAACGUAGGGAAACUUACGCUAAUACCGCAUACGACCUACGGGUGAAAGCAGGGGAUCUUCGGACCUUGCGCGAUUGAAUGAGCCGAUGUCGGAUUAGCUAGUUGGCGGGGUAAAGGCCCACCAAGGCGACGAUCCGUAGCUGGUCUGAGGGGAUGAUCAGCCACACUGGAACUGAGACACGGUCCAGACUCCUACGGGAGGCAGCAGUGGGGAAUAUUGGACAAUGGGCGCAAGCCUGAUCCAGCCAUACCGCGUGGGUGAAGAAGGCCUUCGGGUUGUAAAGCCCUUUUGUUGCGAAAGAAAAGCAGCAGGUUAAUACCCCGCUGUUCUGACGGUACCCAAAGAAUAAGCACCGGCUAACUUCGUG
Molecule: ribosomal RNA, 492 nt
Filed under: uncultured bacterium
Lineage: Bacteria
Description: partial 16S ribosomal RNA
Rfam family: Bacterial small subunit ribosomal RNA
Source: RNAcentral